GCUAUUUGAGUUCAUUAUUCAGUGGAGAAAGAAAAUCAUAGGAUGGAGAAAUUAAUCAGGUAUAAUAGAACUGAUCAGAUACAGCCCAACAUUUCGAUCAGCCUAAUCAGGAUGAUCUAAAUCAAAAUAUGAUUGAACUACUAUAGAGAUGAUUCAAUAAAAACUACGGAUGAUUAAAUUUAUUGGUUCGUGAUCUGGUCA
Molecule: long non-coding RNA, 201 nt
Filed under: Elaeis guineensis (African oil palm)
Lineage: Eukaryota; Viridiplantae; Streptophyta; Magnoliopsida; Arecales; Arecaceae
Description: long non-coding RNA (EGUI_LNC028829)
Source: RNAcentral